ACAGAAUGCAAAAUGAUGGAAUUGGAAAUAUCAAUCAUCAGUUUCCAUACUCCUAUUGGAGGAAGAUUACAAAGAGGCGCUUUGUGAGAGGAUGCAGCUGCUGAAAUCCGACUAGAUCCAGCUGAAGAGAGAAUGGAGCAGGAAAUAAACCUAUGUGAAACCUACAGUCGGGAAACUAUACGACGAAGUAAUCGUGAUCACAUACCGACAAUAUGAGCGCGACAACUAACUCUGCGAGCUACGACAACUUCAAUGUGUUUUAUUUGGACGUGGCUCGGGUACCCACCAUUUCCCAAGAGGCUUCGUGGUCAUCAACACACUGAUGAGCUCCUAGCAAGGCAGCUCCUAGCAAGAUGGUGAACAGAACGACUGAAGUUGGGGAGAGAAAAUGCAGCACCAUUCAUCUACGUGUUUACCUCUCUGGAGAAGACAAUGGAUGUUACAGUUUUAAGAGCUGUCAGGAAUACUUAUUCUUUACCACCACAGUGCUCUAAGCCUGCUUCUCGAUUUAGAUUUAUUAUAGAAGAGCUCUGCUUCUGAGUUACAUUUCACCCUUUGAUAGGUGGGGUUAGCGACGGGGGUCUGUGGGGUACUGGGUGUUGUAACGUAUAUGGACAAUUAUUUGAAUGUGUGAAACUCGCGUCUCUAAAACUGCAUAAAGCGCUGUGCACUUUGAGUAACUAAAUUUGCACAAGAGGUUGGCUUCUCAUAAAAGUGAAACAAUAAAUGGGGCAAGGGAAUUACAAUAAUAUGUCAAUAUUACAGAACAUUUUAGGCAACAGUAGAUGGCUAUGCAUUACUUCAGUGAUCAUAUUUUUGGAUUAUUAAAUAAGAUUGUGCUCUGUGUUAUCGGGCCAUCUUUAUGUUGUAUUAGAAAGAUCAAUGUUUCCCAAUUUAUUGUGAAAUAAUCAUUUUAGUGACAUAUGAGCAGCAUCCCGGGAAUUUACCUGGUCUAUAGGACCAUAUAAGAUACAUGUAUGUUUUAAAUGAAUCAGAUUAUGUAUGAACUAACCUUGUUGUCUUGAAAGCGUCGGAUGGAUCAGGGUCUUGAUCUGGGCCAAGAAAAGAGCAACUGUAAGACGUCUAUUUGUACAUUGACACAGAUACUGAGAGUAGUAUGGUUAUCAUGCUAGUAUACGCCAGGGAAUGUCAGUAAAGAUGUCAGCUUGUCAGCAGGCCCUCUACUGCAGUGUUGACAAGAACUCUCCGAUUGCAAUUCAGAGAAUGUUAUGAAGUAGGUUUACAAAGGGUUAUCACAGAAUCAGGAAUGACCUAUGAUGUUUAUAAUGAAUCAUGAAUGACCUAUGAUGUAUAUAAUGAUUUUUAGACCUGUAUACAGUCUCUACAUGUAAGCUACAUGUUAAAAAUGUAUAUUAUG
This is a long non-coding RNA of Esox lucius (northern pike), 1378 nucleotides long. The record is from Ensembl. Lineage: Eukaryota; Metazoa; Chordata; Actinopteri; Esociformes; Esocidae.